UGUUAGGAGUCUUCAAAAUGUUUUUUUAAUUGCGUCGCAUUACGUAAUUACGUAUAUUAUGUCCCUUACAGGCGCACGUGUAUUUCAUAUCUAUAGAAAAUAUACUAAAUCUAUUACCUUUAUGCUGGCCAUAGUUUACGUUGAGUUUACGGUUUUUGAAAGUAUGAUAGAGGGUUGAUAUGUGUAGAUAAAGUAUUUAAUAUGACUUAUCAAAUGUAUGUCAAAUGCCUAUAAAAUAUUUUAGAUUAUAAAUAUAAAUCCGUCGUCGUUUAUUUCAUAUUACUAUUUACUCCAAAACUGGGAAGUGUGAAUAAAGUUACGGGUGCAGAAUGUUAUUGAAAGAUGACCCACCUUGCACCCCUACUCAACCGAUAGUUACAGAUCAUCACUCUAAAAAUUUUGAUGUCACAUUUACAUUUUGGAUGGGCAAGGUCGGCAAGCAUUAAAUCCCCGGAUUCCUGUUGAAAAUAAACGUCAAGACACUCAGCUGACCAUCAAUGCUAAUCAAACGAUAAAUAAAUUUGAGCGGAAC
This is a long non-coding RNA of Cydia pomonella (codling moth), 532 nucleotides long. RefSeq lists it as uncharacterized. The record is from RefSeq and is a predicted model, not a curated record. NCBI's taxonomy places the organism in Eukaryota, Metazoa, Arthropoda, Insecta, Lepidoptera, Tortricidae. The transcript is spliced from 2 exons.